Molecule: unclassified non-coding RNA, 348 nt
Filed under: soil metagenome
Description: partial contains 5.8S ribosomal RNA, internal transcribed spacer 2, and large subunit ribosomal RNA
Rfam family: 5.8S ribosomal RNA (bases 3-120)
Source: RNAcentral
GGUGAAGAACGUAGCAAAAUGCGAUAAGUAAUGUGAAUUGCAGAAUUCAGUGAAUCAUCGAAUCUUUGAACGCACAUUGCGCCCGCUGGUAUUCCGGCGGGCAUGCCUGUUCGAGCGUCAUUUCAACCCUCAAGCCCCCGGGUUUGGUGUUGGGGAUCGGCUCUGCCCUUCUGGGCGGUGCCGCCCCCGAAAUACAUUGGCGGUCUCGCUGCAGCCUCCAUUGCGUAGUAGCUAACACCUCGCAACUGGAACGCGGCGCGGCCAUGCCGUAAAACCCCAACUUCUGAAUGUUGACCUCGGAUCAGGUAGGAAUACCCGCUGAACUUAAGCAUAUCAAUAAGCGGAGGA